AGUGAACGCUGGCGGUAGGCCUAACACAUGCAAGUCGAACGGCAGCACAGUAAGAGCUUGCUCUUACGGGUGGCGAGUGGCGGACGGGUGAGGAAUACAUCGGAAUCUACUUUUUCGUGGGGGAUAACGUAGGGAAACUUACGCUAAUACCGCAUACGACCUACGGGUGAAAGCAGGGGAUCUUCUGACCUUGCGCGAUUGAAUGAGCCGAUGUCGGAUUGGCUAGUUGGCGGGGUAAAGGCCCACCAAGGCGACGAUCCGUAGCUGGUCUGAGAGGAUGAUAAGCCACACUGGAAGGGGGACACGGUCCAGACUCCUGCGGGAGGGAGCAGUGGGGAAUAUUGGACAAUGGGCGCAAGCCUGAUCCAGCCAGACCGCGUGGGUGAAGAAGGCCUUCGGGUUGUAAAGCCCUUUUGUUGGGAAAGAAAAGCAGCAGGUUAAUACCCCGCUGUUCUGACGGUACCCAAAGAAUAAGCACCGGCUAACUUCGUG
This 492-nucleotide ribosomal RNA is filed under the name uncultured bacterium. RNAcentral's name for it is "partial 16S ribosomal RNA". It matches the Rfam family "Bacterial small subunit ribosomal RNA", at positions 29 to 507 of the family's 1533-position model. The record is from RNAcentral.